RNAcentral lists this long non-coding RNA (326 nucleotides) under Fragaria vesca (wild strawberry). Its description in RNAcentral is "long non-coding RNA (FVES_LNC000106)". Lineage: Eukaryota; Viridiplantae; Streptophyta; Magnoliopsida; Rosales; Rosaceae. The record is from RNAcentral.
AAGAACAGGCAGGGCCUCAGAUUCAAUGAGUUCAAUUUUGUGCUCAACACCAGCUUUCUUUAUGAUUGGUAAUCCGAUUUGAUCAUAUGGCUCACGAUGUGCAUCUAUGGCUACAAUCUGCAGUACGGUAUUUUUUUUUUUAGCUUAGAAAAUCAGGAUAUGUCAGAUACUAAAUAACUAGUAACAGACCUUGCCAUCCUCAGGAAGUGUAAGAGCAGUGAGGAGAAGAGAGUAUCCGGUAAAAACUCCAACUUCAAUCGUCUUCUUUGCAUCCACUAGCCCCAACAGCAUGGUCAUCAACUGGCCGGCAUCUGGGGCAGUUCCCA